Molecule: long non-coding RNA, 903 nt
Organism: Mytilus californianus (California mussel)
Lineage: Eukaryota; Metazoa; Mollusca; Bivalvia; Mytilida; Mytilidae
Exons: 3
Source: RefSeq, a predicted model, not a curated record
UUCCGGUUGCUUUAUUGGUGCUGAAUGGUGAUUUAGACACACUUGAUCAUGUUAUGAGAGCAAUAUACAGUGAUAUAUCCGUAGUGGUUGUCAAAGGAACUGGCGGAGCUGCUGACCUGAUUGCUUUAUGCCUGGAAGAGUAAUUUGUUAACGUUCAACUGUCUUAUUACAUUAUCAAAUCCGACAGACAAUAUUUAUGAAAAAGGAAAGACCGCAAGUAUUUCAAUGACACUGACAAGGACGUGUUUAUAUUAUAUAUACAAAUCAAAAAUCUUAAAACACAUUUCGAAAUGAGGCUUUCACACUAUAAAGAACAGAUUAGAAAUUGCAUGACGUGUUAUCCAACUCUAUUGUUUAUCAUUUUAAUGAAGAAAUUAGAACUCGUUUUAUAUAAAACAAUCUUCACAUUAUACAUUCAUUUUAGUUAUGACGUCUGAAACUCUAAGCAAGUAUUAUUAUUAUUUCAAAACAAAUGAUCAAAUUUAAAUUUAUGUACUAUGUUUGCAUUAAAUGUCAAAAUUCAAUGCUUGUACCAUUGAUGAUAUUUGUAGCUUUUCAAAACUAAAGAAGGAAUUACCAAUAUUGAUAACAAGACGUUUCACGAAAGGGCAUUUUAACAAAAUACUGGAAGUCUUCAAAAUGAUCAUUGCAAAGGAUUGGAUGAUUUCAGUAUUUGACAUCAAAGUUGACGAACAUGAUAGUCUAUGGGAAAGAAUAACAGACGGAAUAAUAAGAGCAUGGUCUUUUGAAGAAAAACUUGAUGAGGAAAUUAUGAUGACAGAAUAUCUUUCUUUGAACUGUGGAGAGUAUAUCUCAAAUUAUGUUGCGAACAUUGAUGGUCUUACCAGGAGAGAACUGUUUGCUGGCUACAGUUUGAAUGAGGCAGAUGGACAGGAAAACAUA